GGAAUAUUGGGCAAUGGACGCAAGUCUGACCCAGCCAUGCCGCGUGCAGGAAUGACGGCCCUAUGGGUUGUAAACUGCUUUUCUGCAAGAAGAAACCCCCGCACGUGUCGGGGGCUGACGGUAUUGUAGGAAUAAGCAUCGGCUAACUCCGUGCCAGCAGCCGCGGUAAUACGGAGGAUGCAAGCGUUAUCCGGAUUCAUUGGGUUUAAAGGGUGCGCAGGCGGACUAAUAAGUCAGUGGUGAAAGCCUA
Molecule: ribosomal RNA, 250 nt
Filed under: uncultured bacterium
Lineage: Bacteria
Description: partial 16S ribosomal RNA
Rfam family: Bacterial small subunit ribosomal RNA
Source: RNAcentral